This 26-nucleotide non-coding RNA is filed under the name Rattus norvegicus (Norway rat). Lineage: Eukaryota; Metazoa; Chordata; Mammalia; Rodentia; Muridae. The record is from RNAcentral.
UGUUUGCAUAAGUGGUAUUAGGUGGC